Oncorhynchus masou masou (cherry salmon) is the source of this 654-nucleotide long non-coding RNA. RefSeq lists it as uncharacterized. NCBI's taxonomy places the organism in Eukaryota, Metazoa, Chordata, Actinopteri, Salmoniformes, Salmonidae. The transcript has 3 exons. The record is from RefSeq and is a predicted model, not a curated record.
CAUCAGCACACCUGGUCCUGAUCAUCGUCUUUCCUCUUCAUAAGCCCGGACCUGACAUCCAUUCCCUGCCGGAUCGUUAGCCAUGAACAUUACUCACCCGGAUCAUUUACCCCAUUCCCGCCUGGUCGUCGGAGGAUUACGCUACCCCAUUGGAUCCACCUAUUUACUCCCAUCAACUCACCACCGCUGCCCGCUACGCCACCUGGAUAUAUCUACCCAUUCACAUUCACUUAGCUUGUGCAGUGACUCUCACCUGAUAACAAAUGCCCUGCAGCUUAUCAGCCAACAUGUGACUGCCAUUGCCGAGGUGUCCCUUUGCAAACUUUACCAAUGGAGUUGGUGAUGUGCUAGACGAGUUGUGAGGUGAUUGUAUGAGCUGCUGGCUGGCUGGCUGGCUGGGGGUGUGUGUGUGUGUGUGUGUGUGUCGGUUUGACCGUAGAGUUCCCCUGUAACUAGCUGGCACCGGUGCCUCAUCCCAGCUGCAGGCCUACCCUGUAUUCAUGUAGCAGUCAUUUAGCACCUCCUUAGGUGCCUGCUGGCCCUCCCCUCAACAUACAGCUAAGGUGCUGGAGAGACUCCUGUCCAAUGAUGUCAAAGGCGUGUCUUCUUUAAAUCUCUUCUGUUUCACCCUGGAGCAGUGUGGUCACGAAGGCA